AUGCCUCCUCCGACUGAAGCCUCCCGCCGCUUCCUCCAUGGGUAUAUUACUUCGCUCUUGUGCAUUAAUCAACACUCUUCGGGAGACCAUGUGAAAGGGAAGAUGGUGGUGGUUGCUUCACCACCAGCAGCUCCGGUCAUCUCUAGCCCCAAGAUGCAGCCAAGAUGGCAGCUUUAUUAUUCCUACGGGUGCGGCUGGAGGAGAGAACUCCGUGCAUGUGAGAGUGCCUUGGAGGCGGAGCUAGCAGCAUGUCGAGAAGGACUGGAGUUGGCCUUGCACCGAACAGAACGUCCAAUUAUAGUUGAGCUAGACAGUGCGGAGGCGGUGACGUUGCUCACAUCGCGCACGAGAGAUAGAUCGAGGCACCACUUUCUCAUAGAGGAGAUCCGAAGCUUAGCUGAUACCGAUGAUAGAGAGAUUUUUAUUUGCUCGCUGUAG
Molecule: ribosomal RNA, 438 nt
Filed under: Triticum aestivum (bread wheat)
Lineage: Eukaryota; Viridiplantae; Streptophyta; Magnoliopsida; Poales; Poaceae
Description: partial small subunit ribosomal RNA
Source: RNAcentral